This 499-nucleotide ribosomal RNA is filed under the name uncultured eukaryote. Its description in RNAcentral is "SSU rRNA". It matches the Rfam family "Eukaryotic small subunit ribosomal RNA", at positions 618 to 1130 of the family's 1831-position model. The record is from RNAcentral.
GUUAAAAAGCUCGUAGUUGGAUUUCUGUGAGAGUAUGAUGUCCUAACGUGUUUAGAGCGCAGAAAACUCUUGCAUCCUUCUGUUACCUCCACGUGGCAUUCGCUUGCCAGUGGUUGGCUCAGAGAAUUUACCUUGAGAAAAUUAGAGUGUUUCAGGCAGGCUUAGUCGGAAUACAUUAGCAUGGAAUAAUAGAAUAGGACUCCGGUCUCGUUGUUGGUUUGAGGGACUGUAGUAAUGAUUAAUAGGGAUAGUUGGGGGCAUUAGUAUUCGGUUGUCAGAGGUGAAAUUCUCAGAUUUAUUGAAGACUAACUUAUGCGAAAGCAUUUGCCAAGGAUGUUUUCAUUAAUCAAGAACGAAAGUUAGGGGAUCAAAGACGAUCAAAUACCGUCCUAGUCUUAACCAUAAACUAUGCCGACUCGGGAUUAGGGGGCGUGUUAUUAUCCGCCUUCAGCACCGUAUGAGAAAUCAAAGUCAUUUGGGUUCUGGGGGGAGUAUGGUC